This 310-nucleotide non-coding RNA is filed under the name Tribolium castaneum (red flour beetle). RNAcentral describes it as "Microsporidia small subunit ribosomal RNA". It matches the Rfam family "Eukaryotic small subunit ribosomal RNA", at positions 782 to 1113 of the family's 1831-position model. The record is from Rfam by way of RNAcentral. Lineage: Eukaryota; Metazoa; Arthropoda; Insecta; Coleoptera; Tenebrionidae.
AAAUCUUCUUGACUUUAAUUUUAUCUUGAUAUUUCCAAUCACUCUCUUUCAUUGACGUGGGUGCGCGACUUUCCGGACAUCCUGUAAAUAUAUAUUAAUAAUAUUAAUAUAUAUUAGAGGUGAAAUUCUUCGAUCGUUGCAAGAAUGACAGAAGCGAAAGCGUUUGCCAAAAACGCUUUCACUAGUCAAGAACGAAAAUUAGAGGUUCGAAGACGGUAACAUACCGCCCUAGUUCUAACCAUAAACGAUGCUAGCGAUCCGCCGACGUUCCUCCGACGACUCGUCGAGCAGCUGCCAAAGCUUUUGAGCU